RNAcentral lists this ribosomal RNA (88 nucleotides) under Mannheimia haemolytica. The record is from RNAcentral. Lineage: Bacteria; Pseudomonadati; Pseudomonadota; Gammaproteobacteria; Pasteurellales; Pasteurellaceae.
CCCGACGACAAGAGUGCUGUGGUCCUACCUGACCCCAUACCGAACUCAGAAGUAAAACGCAGUAACGUCGAUGGUAGUGUGGUGAUUC